UACGUAGGGUGCGAGCGUGUCCGGAAUUAUUGGGCGUAAAGAGCUCGUAGGCGGUUUGUUGCGUCUAUCGUGAAAACCUGCAGCUUAACUGUGGGCUUGCGGUGGAUACGGGCAGACUUGAGUUCGGUAGGGGAGACUGGAAUUCCUGGUGUAGCGGUGAAAUGCGCAGAUAUCAGGAGGAACACCGGUGGCGAAGGCGGGUCUCUGGGCCGAUACUGACGCUGAGGAGCGAAAGCGUGGGGAGCGAACAGG
This 252-nucleotide ribosomal RNA is filed under the name uncultured bacterium. Its description in RNAcentral is "partial 16S ribosomal RNA". It matches the Rfam family "Bacterial small subunit ribosomal RNA", at positions 524 to 776 of the family's 1533-position model. The record is from RNAcentral.